RNAcentral lists this unclassified non-coding RNA (3053 nucleotides) under Mus musculus (house mouse). The stretch from base 881 to 1081 matches the Rfam family "Viral integration site 1". Lineage: Eukaryota; Metazoa; Chordata; Mammalia; Rodentia; Muridae. The record is from RNAcentral.
UAAUUCUUCUUCUUCUCUAAGCACCAUGACAGGAGCACAGCCUUUCCAGAGGGUACCUACCUAAGUUGAAGGUGGCCUUAAGUUAUCUCUAUAACCAGGUGCUCCAGAAGAGGGGGAUGAGCAUCAUUAAGCAGUGAGCAGCAUCAGGAAGACUCCUGUCACUUGUCAGCAGACUUGACUUUCAGUAAACAGUUGGUGUCUAUGAAAAUCUAACUGUCUUGUUAAAGAGAGUGAUUUCUGCAUUUGGCAUUUGAAAGACUAUGGAGGAGGCUUGAGUGGCAUUCCCACCAUGUUUCCUGAGCACAGAGGUCAGCUUUGCAAAGACACUGCUUGGAAGUGGACUGCGCAGGCUUCUUAGAUAUGUAGCCAUCUUCUGGGACCUGCCAGUCUUGGAGAGAGAGAAGAUCCAGAAUUCUACAAGCCGCAAACACACUGUAUUAGAGCAGGCUGAGAUCAGAUGGCUGGGGAGAAAUACAGAUGGAUGGAGUUAAGUAUGGGCGAAAUCAACGUUUCCAGAUGCACAGGGUGGACUAAGGGUGCUGUUCUUUUUGAUGAAGAGCAAGGACAAGAAGCAUCUCUUGUGAAUCACUAGGCAGGUGUUUGCUCUCUGGGGAAGUGACAGGAAACUCAUCCCUGACCCGAGGUUACUGGGAGGAAAGAGCUUCUUUUGGUUUUGUUUCUCUGCUUGGUGUACAAGUCAGUGCCCUGUCUAGGGAAGAAGAACGCAGAUGAUCCUUGGAUGUCCCCAAGGGAAGAAUGACCACUCUAUUACAGAAUUAAGGUCAUCUAGAGAUCCUGUUUCCUAUUGCACAUGAAUAUGGAAUUUGGUAACAGAAUAAACAUGACAUUUGGAAUGUUCCUAGAGCAUACUUAGGGCAACUGGCAAGGCUGACAUAGCUUUUACUGAUCUGUCUGUUUAGUGAGUGGACAGGAUGCCAGUCUGGCAGUUUGCAUUGGCAAUAAAUCACUACUAGACAUUUUAUUUAAAAUCUGGCACUGGCUUUGGAGAGGUGAGGGAUUGUCAAUUUGUUUUUAUUUUGAGGCCAGGCACAAUCAUAACACAAACAGGCCACCUGGAAACUUUAGCACAUAUGUAAAAGUGUGGCCCUGGUCUGUGGCCAUUGCAUGCUUGGCAGGAGCAGGGAGAGGUAAAUGAGAGUAAGCACUGUUGACCAGGAAGACUCUGGCAGACCUGUGCAGCCCGAGGCAGCCCUGCUGGAAACCAUGCUGGAUCCGAAAGUGUGAUAUAGGAAGGCUAUCAUCAGCAUAAUAGAUGAGAUAAAAUUUGUUUUCCUGUUUUAUCAUGAGAUUCUCACAGAAUACAUUAGGAACACACAAGCAAUGCAUUCCAUCCGAGAGAGAGAGAGAGAGAGAGAGAGAGAGAGAGAGAGAGGUCACUCCAACAAUAAAGUUAAGUAUUGAGCUGGUUUGUUCCUGCCUUUGCCAUCCUCCACCUCAUGUCUUUUCUUCUUCUCUUCCUCUGGUUUUCUGCCUUUAUUUUUGUCUUGGAUUGCCCCUUUUUUAAAGGAUAAAUUGUGAUCAAUGUCUCGCAGUUUUGAGUGAAAAAAUAUUUCACGGUAGGCACUGGAAAUGUUCUUCGGUGUAGAGUUACUGCCUAGCAAGCAUGAAAUUUAGCUUCAAUCAUAGUGCUCACACACAUGCAUACACAUGUGCGAGAAUGCAUACACACUUAUGUACACAUGCAUGCAUACGCAAGGAGAAGUUUAGACUCUUACAGCUACUGCAGUGGCAGAAGUUAGGGCUCCUUUUCCACUCUCAGCAAUUGUGUGAUUUUCUGAAUAUUGUGUAAGGCUGAAUAGUAUCACUGUGUAGCUUUUUUAGUUUUUUCAUUGUGAACAUAUGAGCUACUCCCCCUGCCCCCUAGGAAAACCAUAUUUCAAGUACACCGACUUACUAAGACACCAGUCUUCUUGUCUUCAUUUGCAUGUUAUAUUUACAAACCUUAAUUAGUCUCCACCUUGUUACUGUGCAAACUCUUAGGAUCACUUAGAUAUAUCUUUGUGAAUGGCUUCAUUUGUUCAUUUAUUAGAAAUAUAUAAUUUACUCAUUAAGCUACAAAUAUUUAAAUGACCCCGACUUGGCUUUCAAAGAGCAUUUCACCUCUUUUCCUUGAUUUUAUAUGUAUAGUUUUCAUAAUAGUAUAUAGCUAAAAGUAGGAAAAAUAUAGACUGGUAUCUUCUUGGUAAAAUCAUUUGAAGUGAUGUAAUGGUCAAAUGCAAAGGAAGGCACCAUUUUAAUGCUGUACUGAAGACACUCCUGGUAUUCAGGACAUUUGUACCUAAAGAUACCUGGUAUUAAAUACUCAGAAAAACUGUCGAAAUUAGAUUUAUGACCUCAAGGACUUUUCUUUGUUUCGAUAAAUGUAGUAUUAGACUGUUUACAAAACGUUCUCAAAAGUUUUCUUAUGAAUGUAAUAGGGAGUCUGUUGCUACAAUGUCCCAUGACUAAGCCAUGACUUAGUUGGUUGAAGACAUUCAUAAAAGGAUACGAAGAAAAGCAGAAAAUGAGAGCCAGCCUCAGUGAAGCCACUUAAAAACACCACAGUUCUGGUAGUUUGAACAUAUCCAAUGGCUGCUUUGAGUGUCAACUCAGCAAAUCUGUGCCCCGAAAGAUCAAGUUGGGGUGUGUAGGUAAUGACACAGAUCCCUAUAUUUAGGAUCCCGGGAGCUCUGAGAGAUACAGUCACUUAUUGGGCAUUUGCAUUUCUAUCUGACUGCCCACAGGUAACAGUGGCAAACAGACUUCCAUCCUGGUACCUGUUUGCAGCAUUUUUUUUUUUUUGAUUCAAUAUACACAUGAAUUUGGAUUGCAGUUUUCUGAUCUGGGUGUCUUCUAUCUAUUUUAAGGGCAUACAUACAUCUCCAUGUGUAUGUGUUUACAGGGCUCUCGGGUUUAGAAUGUUAAGCUUUAUGUAUUUAAUUAAUUCAUUAAUUAAUUUCUCCUAUGCUAUGGUUGUUACAGAGCACAAAUUAUUUGUGUGUGUUAAUUAGAGUGUAAUUUUAAAUUAAUUAAAUUUGUGGAUUCAAAAUAUU